AUGAAGAGAGGGUAUUCAUUCAAGAGGAAUCUGCAAGGAUAUCAGAAGAAAUUGAAUGUCUUCUUUUGCUCGGCAUUUCCUUCCUCACAAUUACAUCUUCUCCUGGACAGGAGCUUCUCACAAGAAACCCAGGCAGUCUUCUCUCCAUUUCUUGCAUUGAUCUCGUUCUCCAGCACGUACCUGGUUCAGGGCUUGCAAGGAACAUGGUGGAAUUGCUUCAGACAGCUACCACCAUCCACGCUCCUGCAACUGACUCUGUACAGCCAGGCCUCUGACUGCACAGCCUCUGGCAAAGGACACAAGGGACCACUCUGCUUUUGGGGGCCCAGCUGCAGAAGGCAGGAGGUGGGUCAGAUAAUGGUAGAACACAGCUCUAGCUUUUGUGUAGUGUGCAUUAGCUUAACACAAGGAAGGUGUGAUGAUUACACACAGGCUCUGGGUGCAUGCUACUUUGUCUUGUGA
This 462-nucleotide long non-coding RNA is filed under the name Anser brachyrhynchus (Pink-footed goose). RNAcentral describes it as "lncRNA (ENSABRG00000017113.1)". The record is from RNAcentral. Lineage: Eukaryota; Metazoa; Chordata; Aves; Anseriformes; Anatidae.